AGUGUCGGUCAAACAACGCAUUCUCCAAUGCUACGUCGCUUGGAGAGUUUUGUCUGAUACCGUUAAACAUUUAGAAGAUGAUAAUAAACAAAGGUAUCUGGAAAAAUGAGGCACAGAGGACUCGGAUUUCAUGCCGAAGUCGAUGUUUUCGCCGAGAAGAAAUUGGACCGUUAACCCGCUUCCGCUUGUCUUGGACAACUGGAUCGACACAUGGAUCUGGUGGCUCAUUGUGAGACUGUCACCGACUGGUCACUGCAGGCAAGUCGGAGAGUGACAUACCCUGUGUGAAAUCUGCCGCUUCCUGCUUCUGACAAUUGAGUUCCGAAGUCCUCCUUCGUUCCUAGAAAACCGGGACCUUCAAAACCAAAUCGGCGGAAUACUUGUGUAAUUUCUGGAUUGAAUUUCUCUGCAUCUUGUCAUGAUGAACAUGAUUGAAGACUUGAGCUGUUGUGGCUAUAAAGGGAGGAAAUCUCAGCCUAUCCCCCUGACAUCAACCCUAUUGAGAGCCUGUGAUAUCGGUUAUCGGCAAAGAUGUUUUUGGGUUGAAACACCAUUUGAGUGUUGUUCAUAAUUUAGGACAUAUUUAGAGCAGAGGUGGACAAACUGUAGUGCUCGAGGGCGACAUUUGAUUUUUCAUAUCAGACAUUCGUACAGGAGGUGUAUAUAAAAUAUGCAAAAUGUUUAAUCUUGAAGAUAAAACCUAAAUCAAAUCAA
Molecule: long non-coding RNA, 714 nt
Organism: Syngnathoides biaculeatus (alligator pipefish)
Lineage: Eukaryota; Metazoa; Chordata; Actinopteri; Syngnathiformes; Syngnathidae
Exons: 2
Source: RefSeq, a predicted model, not a curated record